Molecule: ribosomal RNA, 626 nt
Filed under: uncultured bacterium
Lineage: Bacteria
Description: bacterial SSU rRNA
Rfam family: Bacterial small subunit ribosomal RNA
Source: RNAcentral
CGGACGGGUGAGUAACACGUACGUAACCUGCCUAUAAGACUGGGAUAACGUAGUACGGAAACGAUAACUGAGACCGGAUAACUGGUUUUCUCGCAUGAGAGAAUUAUGAAACACGGAGCAAUCUGUGGGUUAUAGAUGGGCCUGCGGCGCAUUAGCUAGUUGGUGAGGUAACGGCUCACCAAGGCGACCAUGCAGUAGCCGACCUGAGAGGGUGAACGGCCACACUGGGACUGAGACACGGCCCAUACUCCUACGGGAGGCAGCAGUAGGGAAUCUUCCGCAAUGGACGCAAGUCUGACCGAGCAACGCCGCGUGAGUGAUGAAGGUUUUCGGAUCGUAAAGCUCUGUUGCCCUAGACGAACAGCAAGGAGAGUAACUGCUCUUUGUGUGACGGUAUAGGAGAAGAAAGCCCCGGCUAACUACGUGCCAGCAGCCGCGGUAAUACGUAGGGGGCAAGCGUUGUCCGGAAUUAUUGGGCGUAAAGCGCGCGCAGGCGGUCAAUUAAGUUGGGUGUUUAAGCCCGGGGCUCAACCCCGGUUCGCAUCCAAAACUGGUUGACUUGAGUGUAGGAGAGGAAAGUGGAAUUCCACGUGUAGCGGUGAAAUGCGUACAGAUGUGGAGGAACA